Molecule: ribosomal RNA, 402 nt
Filed under: uncultured bacterium
Lineage: Bacteria
Description: bacterial SSU rRNA
Rfam family: Bacterial small subunit ribosomal RNA
Source: RNAcentral
GGGAAUAUUGCACAAUGGGGGAAACCCUGAUGCAGCGACGCCGCGUGAAGGAAGAAGUAUCUCGGUAUGUAAACUUCUAUCAGCAGGGAAGAAAACAGACGGUACCUGACUAAGAAGCCCCGGCUAACUACGUGCCAGCAGCCGCGGUAAUACGUAGGGGGCAAGCGUUAUCCGGAAUUACUGGGUGUAAAGGGAGCGUAGACGGUGAUGUAAGUCUGGAGUGAAAGGCGGGGGCCAAACCCCCGGACUGCUCUGGAAACUAUGUGACUGGAGUGCAGGAGAGGUGAGCGGAAUUCCUAGUGUAGCGGUGAAAUGCGUAGAUAUUAGGAGGAACACCAGUGGCGAAGGCGGCUCACUGGACUGUAACUGACGUUGAGGCUCGAAAGCGUGGGGAGCAAACAG